GGGGAAUAUUGGACAAUGGGCGAAAGCCUGAUCCAGCAAUGCCGCGUGAACGAUGAAGGCCUUAGGGUUGUAAAGUUCUUUCGGUGGGGAAGAUAAUGACGGUACCCACAUAAGAAGCUCCGGCUAACUCCGUGCCAGCAGCCGCGGUAAUACGGAGGGAGCUAGCGUUGUUCGGAAUUACUGGGCGUAAAGAGCGCGUAGGCGGCUAACUAAGUUGGAAGUGAAAUCCCAGGGCUUAACCCUGGAAUUGCUUUCAAAACUGGUUAGCUAGAGGACGAUAGAGGAUGGUGGAAUUCCUAGUGUAGAGGUGAAAUUCUUAGAUAUUAGGAGGAACAUCGGAGGCGAAGGCGACCAUCUGGGUCGUAUCUGACGCUGAGGCGCGAAAGCGUGGGGAGCAAACAGGA
Molecule: ribosomal RNA, 404 nt
Filed under: Rickettsiaceae bacterium
Lineage: Bacteria; Pseudomonadati; Pseudomonadota; Alphaproteobacteria; Rickettsiales; Rickettsiaceae
Description: bacterial SSU rRNA
Rfam family: Bacterial small subunit ribosomal RNA
Source: RNAcentral